Non-coding RNA from Neolamprologus brichardi, 290 nucleotides. NCBI's taxonomy places the organism in Eukaryota, Metazoa, Chordata, Actinopteri, Cichliformes, Cichlidae. The record is from RefSeq and is a predicted model, not a curated record.
GAAGGAAGAACAUAAAGUCUAGAUUGGGAAGUAAAGAAAGUUUUACUUGCUUUCGAAAAAUACAUCUGGUUUACGGCCCUCCUCUCAGCAGCAGCAGAUUCUUCUCCUCCUGCAGCCAUCAUGAAAAUAGCAUCUUUUAACAUUCAGAAGUUUGGAAUAACGAAAGUGUCAGACCCUGAUGUCCUCGAAAUCCUGACUAAGAUUGUGUCUCGAUAUGACAUCAUUCUGAUCCUGGAGGUGGUGGACGCCAGCGGAGAGUCCAUAGAAAUCUUCAUGAAAGAACUCAACAA